UAAGUGUUCUUUGGGUUUUCCUGGCUGGCCACACAUAAUUCAAUUUUACUUGCCGCUUCCUAUUCCUGGUCUGCUUCAAAAAUCUUAACCCUGCCCCGAGAGCAAAAGUAAAAACAUUUUUCGGAGAAAAGCACGUGAAAAUAUUUAAAUAAGCGGAUAUGUAGCACUAAGGGACAAUGUGGCCAUACGUAUUUAACGUGGCAGCCAUUAGCCAAUGAGAUCCACUGUGUUUGCGCCAGAAUAUGAUUUGAUGUUUCAGUGUUUUUUAUGAAAUAUAAGCUUUUUAAAGUUGUCGAAGUCGCGGUGGUAGCACGAUUGACAAGCGUCGUGCAGCAACGAUACCACUUGACGAUGAAUUUCCGAUAGUCUUGAGCUAUCGUCAACGCGUGGAGAUGAGCGAAUGAGAGCUUUAAACUAUCGAUGAUGAAUCAUUGAAAAUAUCGAAUUUUCGAUUUGGCGGAGUCUAUUGUGUAUUUAAAAUGCCAAUCAGCACAAUGUAUAACUGAAAAUAAGUUAACAUUUUAAAUUAACUGCACGGAUAUUGAUCUUGUAUCUCAAGUUUCUUGUGAGGUUAACACGAUUAAAAGCGGUUUCAUGUACAUUUAAAAUCUAAGGCAUUUUUUAAAACAUACAUAUUAAAAAUGAAGCAAUCCAUAUGCAAAAUAGACUUAAGAAUUUUAUAAAGUUAUCACUUAUAACAAUAUAUUAUAAAGUCGUUUAA
Molecule: non-coding RNA, 721 nt
Organism: Drosophila virilis
Lineage: Eukaryota; Metazoa; Arthropoda; Insecta; Diptera; Drosophilidae
Source: RefSeq, a predicted model, not a curated record